This 493-nucleotide ribosomal RNA is filed under the name uncultured bacterium. Its description in RNAcentral is "partial 16S ribosomal RNA". It matches the Rfam family "Bacterial small subunit ribosomal RNA", at positions 30 to 507 of the family's 1533-position model. The record is from RNAcentral.
AGUGAACGCUGGCGGUAGGCCUAACACAUGCAAGUCGAACGGCAGCACAGUAAGAGCUUGCUCUUACGGGUGGCGAGUGGCGGACGGGUGAGGAAUACAUCGGAAUCUACUUUUUCGUGGGGGAUAACGUAGGGAAACUUACGCUAAUACCGCAUACGACCUACGGGUGAAAGCAGGGGAUCUUCGGACCUUGCGCGAUUGAAUGAGCCGAUGUCGGAUUAGCUAGUUGGCGGGGUAAAGGCCCACCAAGGCGACGAUCCGUAGCUGGUCUGAGAGGAUGGUCGGACAGAUUGGGAGUGAGACAUGGCACAAAAUCGUACGGGAGGCAGCAGUAGGGAAUCUUGGGCAAUGGAGGCAAGUGUGUACGAGAAACGCCGCGUGAGUGAAGAAGGUUUGCGGAUCGUAAAAAUGUGUUGGGAGAGAAGAACGUUGGUGAGAGGGGAAAGCUCAUCAAGUGACGGUAACUACGAAGAAAGGGACGGCUAACUACGUG